AUUGAACGCUGGCGGCAGGCCUAACACAUGCAAGUCGAACGAGUGGCGGACGGGUGAGUAAUGUCUGGGAAACUGCCUGAUGGAGGGGGAUAACUACUGGAAACGGUAGCUAAUACCGCAUACCAUCAGAUGUGCCCAGAUGGGAUUAGCUUGUUGGUGGGGUAACGGCUCACCAAGGCGACGAUCCCUAGCUGGUAAGAGAGGAUGACCCGCCACAGUGGAACUGAGACACGGGCCAGAGACCAGCACACGGCGACAAUACUCAAUAUGGCACAAGAGGCGCAAGCCUGAUACAGCCAUGCGGCGUGUAUGAAGAGAUCCUUCGGGUUGUAAAGUACUUUCAGCAGAGAGGCUUGACCAGCAGAAGAAGCACCGGCGAACUCCGUGCCAGCAGCCGCGGGAUAC
RNAcentral lists this ribosomal RNA (405 nucleotides) under uncultured bacterium. RNAcentral describes it as "partial 16S ribosomal RNA". It matches the Rfam family "Bacterial small subunit ribosomal RNA", at positions 30 to 526 of the family's 1533-position model. The record is from RNAcentral.